RNAcentral lists this ribosomal RNA (782 nucleotides) under fungal endophyte. Its description in RNAcentral is "eukaryotic LSU rRNA". The stretch from base 536 to 782 matches the Rfam family "Eukaryotic large subunit ribosomal RNA", at positions 1 to 244 of the family's 3401-position model. Lineage: Eukaryota; Fungi. The record is from RNAcentral.
GGUGACCUGCGGAAGGAUCAUUACCGAGUGCGGGUCCUUUGGGCCCAACCUCCCAUCCGUGUCUAUUAUACCCUGUUGCUUCGGCGGGCCCGCCGCUUGUCGGCCGCCGGGGGGGCGCCUUUGCCCCCCGGGCCCGUGCCCGCCGGAGACCCCAACACGAACACUGUCUGAAAGCGUGCAGUCUGAGUUGAUUGAAUGCAAUCAGUUAAAACUUUCAACAAUGGAUCUCUUGGUUCCGGCAUCGAUGAAGAACGCAGCGAAAUGCGAUAACUAAUGUGAAUUGCAGAAUUCAGUGAAUCAUCGAGUCUUUGAACGCACAUUGCGCCCCCUGGUAUUCCGGGGGGCAUGCCUGUCCGAGCGUCAUUGCUGCCCUCAAGCCCGGCUUGUGUGUUGGGUCGCCGUCCCCCUCUCCGGGGGGACGGGCCCGAAAGGCAGCGGCGGCACCGCGUCCGAUCCUCGAGCGUAUGGGGCUUUGUCACAUGCUCUGUAGGAUUGGCCGGCGCCUGCCGACGUUUUCCAACCAUUUUUUCCAGGUUGACCUCGGAUCAGGUAGGGAUACCCGCUGAACUUAAGCAUAUCAAUAAGCGGAGGAAAAGAAACCAACCGGGAUUGCCUCAGUAACGGCGAGUGAAGCGGCAAGAGCUCAAAUUUGAAAGCUGGCUCCUUCGGAGUCCGCAUUGUAAUUUGCAGAGGAUGCUUUGGGUGCGGCCCCCGUCUAAGUGCCCUGGAACGGGCCGUCAGAGAGGGUGAGAAUCCCGUCUUGGGCGGGGUGUCCGUGCCCG